This 152-nucleotide microRNA precursor is filed under the name Rehmannia glutinosa. Its description in RNAcentral is "miR7803a stem-loop (rgl-MIR7803a)". Lineage: Eukaryota; Viridiplantae; Streptophyta; Magnoliopsida; Lamiales; Orobanchaceae. The record is from miRBase by way of RNAcentral.
UAUUCUACCGUACGGAUAAUUGACACGUGUAUAAAAAUUACCAUAUGANNNNAAAUUACCAUAUGAAAAAACCCAGAAUUUAGGCAUGAUUUAUGCUUCAAAUUAAUAUGAUAACUUUUAUACACGUGUCAAUCGUUCGUGCGGUGGAAUAG